GCCGGGGUGGCCGAGCGGCCCAAGGCGCGGGACUUGAGAUGUCCACGGGAGAUCCCGUCCCCGUUCAGGGGGCGUGGGUUCAAAUCCCACCCCCGGCG
RNAcentral lists this transfer RNA (98 nucleotides) under Pyrobaculum calidifontis JCM 11548. Its description in RNAcentral is "tRNA-Ser". It matches the Rfam family "tRNA". Rfam says of the family: Transfer RNA (tRNA) molecules are approximately 80 nucleotides in length. Their secondary structure includes four short double-helical elements and three loops (D, anti-codon, and T loops). Further hydrogen bonds mediate the characteristic L-shaped molecular structure. tRNAs have two regions of fundamental functional importance: the anti-codon, which is responsible for specific mRNA codon recognition, and the 3' end, to which the tRNAs corresponding amino acid is attached (by aminoacyl-tRNA synthetases). tRNAs cope with the degeneracy of the genetic code in two manners: having more than one tRNA (with a specific anti-codon) for a particular amino acid; and 'wobble' base-pairing, i.e. permitting non-standard base-pairing at the 3rd anti-codon position. The record is from RNAcentral. Lineage: Archaea; Thermoproteati; Thermoproteota; Thermoprotei; Thermoproteales; Thermoproteaceae.